This 375-nucleotide ribosomal RNA is filed under the name uncultured organism. RNAcentral's name for it is "partial 16S ribosomal RNA". It matches the Rfam family "Bacterial small subunit ribosomal RNA", at positions 527 to 896 of the family's 1533-position model. The record is from RNAcentral.
GUAGGUGGCAAGCGUUGUCCGGGAAUUAUUGGGGCGUAAAGCGCGCGCAGGCGGUUCUUUAAGUCUGAUGUGAAAGCCCACGGGCUCAACCGUGGAGGGUCAUUGGAAACUGGAGAACUUGAGUACAGAAGAGGAAAGCGGAAUUCCACGUGUAGCGGUGAAAUGCGUAGAGAUGUGGAGGAACACCAGUGGCGAAGGCGGCUUUCUGGUCUGUAACUGACGCUGAGGCGCGAAAGCGUGGGGAGCAAACAGGAUUAGAUACCCUGGUAGUCCACGCCGUAAACGAUGAGUGCUAAGUGUCAGGGGGUUCCCGCCCCUUAGUGCUGCAGCUAACGCAUUAAGCACUCCGCCUGGGGAGUACGGCCGCAAAGGCUG